AAUUUAAGAGAGAGAGAGAAAGAGAGAGAGUGAGUGAGUGAGAUCUCCAUUAGCAUUGCUUGCAUAAAAUUCAAAUUCGAAUUAUAUGAUUACAACAUUGUUUCAUUUCUCUCUGUCUCUAUCAAGAAUAUUUUUUGGCCUUUAAAAUACAUGAGCGAGAAGCUCUCAUGCCUUCUACUUUAUGGCUUUGAAACCAAAUAUCUUCACCACCACAGUUCAAACCAGAGGCUCUACUUUCACUGCCCCAUACAGUUCCCAUUCAAAAUACACAGAGUAAGCUGUGAAUCUCCCAAUUCUUGAUCCUAAUUAUUCAAGUCUAGCAAGGCAGAGAAUUGAUCAAACAAAUAAAACCAUUACUCAAUAGAAUUUAAUCCUUUAGCUAUGAAAAGAACAAGAAAUCAUCAAAUAAACAAAACCAAUACUCCAGCCUUUCCUAUCAUUAGAUAAUUAUUAUAUUAAAAAUAACAAUUAAUCAUUCACUUGAUCCAAAAUUUAAUCCUUUAAGUAUGAAAAGAAUUACAGAAUCAAAGAAAAACCGAAAUCAAAAUAUGAAAAAUGGCUGGGGCAUAUUUUUAAACAUUUGGACUCUGAAGAACACUUAAUCUGAAGAACAUUUGGAAUCAAAGAAAAACUGGAAUCAAAACUGUGGUAUAUAUGGUUACCAAAGCCUGAAGAAAACUUACUCUCUCUAAAAACUACUUUUGGAUCUCACCAGAGAGGUCAUACAAUUUUAGAAAAGGUACAUCUCUCUAAAAAUUAAAUCAAUCGUAUCCAAGAAACAAAUGCACAAGUACCACACUAAGAGCUUUUGAUUGAGAGAGAUGGAGCAAGCUAAAAAUUGUGUGCCCUCUCUCAUUCUUGGUGAGAUCCAAAAGUAAUUUUUAAAGAGAGUGAGUGUUUUUCAAUCUUUGAUAACUAAAAAUACCAGAUGUUCAGUUAUUGUGACUGAAUCACAAAAAAUCCCAAAAAAUAAAUUCUACCUGGUGUGAUCGAAGAGUAACAAAAAAUCCCAAGAAUCAACAGAGUAAAUUCUAGAAAAAAAAUCCCAAAAAUAAAACAAAAAGAAAAGAAAAGAAAUGGCAUUGAGUGUGGCAUUCAUAUAUCGUAUGAUCAGAGAUCUCCAUAGUUGGAUCACAUGAAAGUGAAAAUUAGGGUUUUCUCGAGGUAAAAACUAAGAUGUCUAUCUGUAAAAAAAAACAUAUGCAGAAGAACACUUCCAUUUUUACCUGGCAUUUUUCCUGAUCAAGAGAGAGAGGAUUGGGUAGGGCAAGGCGAGAGAUCGAGAGAUAAAGGAUGGGGGACGGCAAGGAGAGAUAAAAUAGAAAGGCGUGUGAGAGAAAGCAUGAGAGGAGGUUUAAAUUUUGAAAUUCAAAUUUUAUUGAUGUACGAUUUUUUAAAAUUUGAAGUAAAAGUCACAAAUACCCUUCAAUAGGUUUUGGUGCUCAUAUA
RNAcentral lists this long non-coding RNA (1449 nucleotides) under Amborella trichopoda. RNAcentral's name for it is "long non-coding RNA (ATRI_LNC000482)". The record is from RNAcentral. Lineage: Eukaryota; Viridiplantae; Streptophyta; Magnoliopsida; Amborellales; Amborellaceae.